GAUGAACGCUGGCGGCGUGCCUAAUACAUGCAAGUCGAGCGAACAGACGAGGAGCUUGCUCCUCUGACGUUAGCGGCGGACGGGUGAGUAACACGUGGAUAACCUACCUAUAAGACUGGGAUAACUUCGGGAAACCGGAGCUAAUACCGGAUAAUAUAUUGAACCGCAUGGUUCAAUAGUGAAAGACGGUUUUGCUGUCACUUAUAGAUGGAUCCGCGCCGCAUUAGCUAGUUGGUAAGGUAACGGCUUACCAAGGCAACGAUGCGUAGCCGACCUGAGAGGGGGAUCGGCCACACUGGAACUGAGACACGGUCCAGACUCCUACGGGAGGCAGCAGUAGGGAAUCUUCCGCAAUGGGCGAAAGCUUGACGGAGCAACGCCGCGUGAGUGAUGAAGGUCUUCGGAUCGUAAAACUCUGUUAUUAGGGAAGAACAAAUGUGUAAGUAACUAUGCACGUCUUGACGGUACCUAAACAGAAAGCCACGGCUAACUACGU
RNAcentral lists this ribosomal RNA (496 nucleotides) under uncultured bacterium. Its description in RNAcentral is "partial 16S ribosomal RNA". It matches the Rfam family "Bacterial small subunit ribosomal RNA", at positions 28 to 506 of the family's 1533-position model. The record is from RNAcentral.